Molecule: long non-coding RNA, 328 nt
Organism: Pezoporus occidentalis (night parrot)
Lineage: Eukaryota; Metazoa; Chordata; Aves; Psittaciformes; Psittacidae
Exons: 3
Source: RefSeq, a predicted model, not a curated record
GUCUGUGCUGAGAGCACCCAGUCCGGCCACUACUGCCUUGAGGGAGCACGGGGGGAGGACGGGAUCGGAUCCUCCCACCGCUAACAGAGGCGCUGACCGUUGUGUCCCCGCAGAGCCCCGCUGCCGACCGUGCGCCACCGGUACCCGCUGCUGCCGCACUGGAGCCCUAGGACCGUUUCCCCGCCGGAGAAGUGGAUGUGUGGGGGGUUGUCCCCACAGUCCUGCAGAGGAGUCUGCUGUGCGGUGCCCAAAUGGACAGGAAGGGAACGGGAGGUGUGACGAUGGAGCCGCGCGCCGGUGACAGCGACCAGGGCUGUGCAGAUGGAGG